RNAcentral lists this ribosomal RNA (755 nucleotides) under uncultured bacterium. RNAcentral describes it as "bacterial SSU rRNA". It matches the Rfam family "Bacterial small subunit ribosomal RNA", at positions 159 to 899 of the family's 1533-position model. The record is from RNAcentral.
GGGGCUAAUACCGGAUACGUUCCCCGGUUGAAAGACUGGGGAGGAAAGGUGGCGCAAGCUGCCGCUCUUGGAGGGGCUCGCGGCCUAUCAGCUAGUUGGCGGGGUAACGGCCCACCAAGGCUAUGACGGGUAGCUGGUCUGAGAGGACGACCAGCCACACGGGGACUGAGACACGGCCCCGACUCCUACGGGAGGCAGCAGUGGGGAAUUUUCCGCAAUGGGCGAAAGCCUGACGGAGUGACGCCGCGCGUGGGACGAAGGCCUUCGGGUCGUAAACCACUGUCAGUGGGAAAGAUGGGUGUCGGCGCUAAUACCGCCGGCAUCUGACGGUACCUGCAGAGGAAGCCCCGGCCAACUCUGUGCCAGCAGCCGCGGUAAGACAGAGGGGGCAAGCGUUGCUCGGAAUUACUGGGCGUAAAGGGCGCGUAGGCGGGAUGGCAAGUCGGUCGUGAAAUCCCUCGGCUCAACUGAGGAACGUCGAUCGAUACUGCUGUUCUUGAGGAUUGCAGAGGAGACUGGAAUUCCCGGUGUAGCGGUGAAAUGUGUAGAGAUCGGGAGGAACACCGGUGGCGAAGGCGGGUCUCUGGGCAAUUCCUGACGCUGAGGCGCGAAAGCGUGGGGAGCAAACGGGAUUAGAUACCCCGGUAGUCCACGCUGUAAACGAUGAGCACUAGGUGUGGGGGGGUUCAGUCCCUUCCGUGCCGCAGCUAACGCAUUAAGUGCUCCGCCUGGGGAGUACGGCCGCAAGGUUGAAA